This is a non-coding RNA of Rattus norvegicus (Norway rat), 13718 nucleotides long. The record is from RefSeq and is a predicted model, not a curated record. NCBI's taxonomy places the organism in Eukaryota, Metazoa, Chordata, Mammalia, Rodentia, Muridae.
UUGAUCAGGUGAUGGAUAUUUAACCAGACAAUUACUCCUAAUGAAUAUGCAUGUAAAUAUCCUCUGUUGCAAACAUCUAUUUCAAAUUAUCAUUUGAUCUGUUGUAUGUGAACUUGCGAUGAACUUUUUAACAUGUGACCAUGUAUUUUGAAAGAUGUACAAGUACAAGGACAAAGAGAUUAGAGAAUUUUUUCCCUUAUUAGAAUUUUUUUGUCUUUCCCUGAUUAGAGAAGAAUUUUUUCCUUUCUCCACUUAGGAUCUUUCUGCUUUUCCCCUUAGAUAGCUUUCAUAGAAAAUGCUUUACAACUUAGUAAUAAAGGCUAUAAUCACUUUUCUAAGUGUCCCCUUUUCUUCCUGAGACUUCCGACUGUCUAGCAGGCAGAAAGUUAGAGAUGAGCAAUCCCUGCUGAGAUAGUACAAAGGCUUAUCUUCAGUAGCAAGCUGCCUCAAGAAGAAGCAACAAGAAGGAAGACACCUGCUUAAGCUGACCCCUGGCAGAUGGUUGUGAGCCACUAUGUGGUUGCCAGGAAUUGAACUCAAGACCUCUGGAAGAACAGCCAGUGCUCUGAACCACUAAGCCAUCUCUCCAGCCUUAAGUUGUCUUAGGUGACCCUGUGAAAGAGACCAUUGACCCUCAAAAGGGUUGUGCCCCACAGGUUGAGAAACAUCACUCUAAAGAUUCAGCAAGUGCUAUUCUAUUUCUUUUUAAAUGUAAGAGACUCUUAUUCUCUGUGCCCAUGCUUGUACCUUCUGCCUAUGAUCCUGAGGUCUGCUCAGAACUCACCUAUGGAGUUAGUUUGGUCCAUGCACAAGCCUUCCAAACAUAUCUGAUACUCCGGAAUGAAAUUACAUCCUCACCUGAACCUAGCAUAUCUCCUGGACUCUUUUGGGCAGGCUGCAUGUACCUCAAUUGUAUUCCAGGUAUCCAUUUGCUUGUGUUUCGUCUGUGAUACUCAGAGACUGAAAUGCAUUCAACAAAAUCUUUAUUAUCAGUGGUCACUAAGUUUAAAGUGUCAGGAAUCAGGAGUUAAUAUAAAGCAAAAACUGAGAACAAAUGGGUUCAUAUCCCAGAUGAAUUAGUUUGACUCUUUGUUUCCUUUAAAAAAGAAGAAAGAAGAAAGGAAGAAAGAAAGAAAGAAAGAAAGAAAAAGGAAAGAAAGAGAGACAGAAAGAAAGAAAAAGGAAAUAUCUGUUUUAUUCUUGAUCCCCCCCCUCUCUGCCCCACCCCAGUGUGCAUGUGCAUAUGUGCUUGUGUAAUGCCUGAAAAGACCAAAGCUUUUGAAUCCCCUGGAGCUGGAGUCACAGGAAUUAGGAGCUUUGCUACCUGGGUACUAUAGAUCAAACAUGGGUAAUCCACAAGAGCAGUACACAAUUCUUAGCACUGAGCUUCCUCCUAGGACAUCACCAUGCUUUCUUUACCAGUGUGAAUGAUUCUGUGCAAUGGGGAAGAUACCAAGGCCACAGUACACAAGCUCUCAGUUAUCUAUGGUGAAAACAAUGUGGUCCAUUGUGAUGUUCUUACCCAGCUGCCUCUGUCUCAUAGUUUCUAUGAUAAAAGAGUGUAGAGUAAUAGAAGAUCCAAAGACAACGGCGAAAACUUAAUGCUGACAGUAGAUUCCAGCUAAAAGAAUAUUCUUUACAAAUAGACCAUUAUAUAGAUGUCAGCAUUUCCACAAGCAAAUUUGCUUCUUUACGGUGAUAUUUAAAUAUUUUCCAAAUAAAACAAUAUGUAAUGUAAUGUCUUUGGGGCUGCAUUUUAUAAUUGAUUGAGGUGCUCAAGUAGGAAAUUGAGUUACUGAAAGAAAUGACUUUGUGUUUACUAAAGUCUUUCAUAUGCCAGGCUCCUACAAACACGCAUGAGUUUAAUGAGAAAAUACUAUUUUUAUUUCCUUUAUUUUUCUUUUGGGAACAUAGACACAGACAUAAAUAAAGUAACUUGUUCAUAUCACUAGAUGGAGUUGCUGGAACAUGACUUCCCAUCUGAGUGAAACCAGGUUGACCUUUUGGGGCUUAGUAGCCCUGAGAAGGCAAUGGCAUGCAACACAGUCAUCCUCAGGUCUUUUCUGGUACACAGUGAAAGAACCUCACAUAGGUCACAUGGAGUCCCUUUCAGCAGGGAUUCUCACUCUGUUCUUAGUUCAUUUCCACUGUUAAUUCUCCCACCAAGCUCUAAUUUCUCUCCCAAGAGUCUCUGAGUUUGCCCCCUGCUUCCCUUUCCAAACAUGUUUCAAGCCUUUUCCUAUCCGCCUAGCUUAUUUUCUCUAUUUCUUCAUUUUUUUCACAUUGCAUCCCCUUUUCAAAGCACAGUUGAACCACCCCAAAUCACUUCUAACCUAAGUAACUAAGUCUCUUCAGGAACAUUGCACCUGACCUCACCCCAAACAGGCCUAUUUCCAUCACUUCAUUUUGGGGAUAAGGUAGGGUCAUGUCACUUCUCAUGAGCCUCCAGGACACUCAUUCGAGUGGAAUGGAAUUUGGGCUAAAACUCACAGCAAACUUGUGCGCAGACACAACGUCUUUGUUAACUGUCAUCUUUUUUUCUAUUUAUUUGACUGAAUGGUUUUCUGGACUGAUUGUAAGAUUUGCAGUGCUGUGAUAAAUAUUUAAUAAAUGCUAAAUAAGUGUUCAUUGAAUGAAUAGAGCCAUCCAGUAACUACACUUUUGACAUCUCUCCAUCAACCAAAUCAUUCAACAAUCCCUAGAUGGUUCUUUAAAUAAAUAUUUCACGAUCUCAAAAUCUCCCAGAAGUUUCCUGCUACCCAGGAAUAAAGCACAGACACAUUGGUGCUCCAUACACUGGAUCUCAUGCUGAAGUUCACAUGUCUGUGUUCUCUUUUGGGACAAGUUCUCACUACGUAGUCCUGGAUGGUCUGGAACUCAUUACUAAUCAAGUCAAACUUCAAACUCUUGAUCUCUAUGCCCCAUCAUCUACAGUUCUGGGACUACCCAACCCUGCCCUUCCUGCAUAUCUUGUAUUAACAAUCUAUUCAGAUGAGCUAAGAGAAUCUUCUUCUGAAGCCAUUUGAUAUUUCCUUCCUCCUUACCUGUUGUCCUUCUUGAUAUUUAAAUAGGGCUUUCUAGAUAGUGGGUUGGCGUAUGCAUUUUUUUGACUUUGUUGUUGUUGUUGUGUUUCUUUGUUUUAUAUAACAUCUCCUAUCUCUUUACUCCAAAUGGUGACUUCUCAUCUCUUUGCUUUGCCUUAUGCUGGUAGGAAAAUUGGCCAACACUGAGUUUGUAGCUUUUCAUUCAUAGCCCCUUCCACUAAGAGUGAAAUGAGUUGCAAUGAGUGAGUAAGUCUGACAAUAUUCAGAGAAACUCGGGAUUCAGCCCUCGAUGGGUUCCCUCUUUGGCAGAUGUGACUGAAAAUUGUCAGUACAGACAAUUUCAGAAAUUCUACAUUUAACAUAUGUCUCUCACAUGAUGAAAAUACUUCAUAAAACAUACAAUGAACAUAUUCCCACAGAGGUACAUUUAACCUAGCACUGAAGUUAUAACAGGGCAGUUUCGUCAAGAAUAAGACACCUCAGAUUACUUCUGAAAAGCAAAAGGCCAUCACACUGGCACAGUAACAGCAGAUCACAAGUCAAGUAAAUGAGUGUUAGAGCAUAAUUUCCCUUUUCAAAAACUGCGAUGCUUGUAGAUGGGUCCUUAUAUUGAGUUCCUUGAAACAAAGUCAUAAAAGUUGUGUUAGAAUAAAGUUAAAAUUUUACUUUAGAGUAUUUUCAUCCCAUUACAGACAAACUCAACAGCCUCUUAAAAUUUCCAAGCUUUCAGCAAACCUUGAAAACUUGAGAGAAAUACUUAUUUUAAAAAUUUGAAAUAUUGUAGAUAUACCAUUCAAGUGAGAUCUGUAUGAUUAGGGCAUUUUAUACCUUGUGUGAUCAUAAACUAAUAGCUCUAACCAGGAUAAUAAAAUUUACCUAUUGUGUGAUCCCCAGUCAUUGCAGGAAAUUUACCUCAAAAAUCCAUGAACAACUUCUGCCCUCUCCUGAAAUAGGUUAUGGCCCAGGUAGUACAUUAUUAUAUUAUUGUAUUUUCACUUGUUUUGAUCCUUAUAUCUAUCAAGUAAAUGCUUUAUCUGGGUUUGCUGAACUAGUAAGCACAAUGGUACUCCUCAAAUGUAAUUUUCUUUACCUCAGUGUUCUUUAGUCCUCCCUAAUUUGAUUAACCAUGAGGGAAGAAUAAUCUAGGUGAGGAGCUGUAGUCAUGAGUUACUUGGAUUCAAAAAUAAAUAAGAAAAAUAAUUUUUUGCCUGUGGAACUUUAGUUGUAGUCAAAGUUACAGGGAAAAACUUAUUUAACAAAUUAAAGAAAUGAGAAGAUACAUCAAGAGAGUUCCAAAGUAGAUCCCUGUUCAUUAGAAGAUGUGGGGACACUGUCCAAAGGGAAUAAGUGGGACCAAAGAUGAUAAGAUGAUCUCCUGGGAGGAGCUGGGACAACUGCAUUAUAAAGGAGGCAGUGUUGUCACAAGUGCAGAGUUAGGAAAGACUUCAGUGUGAACCCAGUACUAAUGCAGUGUUCUCCUGAGGGGCGAGUGAAGGGGGAAGACUGUGAGGCAGGACAGCUUUCCUGGAACCAGGUUGCCUACCUGUACUUCUGGGUGUAGAACUUAAGAAUAGAAAACAGCUCCCUAAAGAAAUAUGUGCAGGAGGAGUCAUAAUAGCUAAGAGGGAAGAUGAACUCUGGUAUGUGAGAGUAGAUGAAGGGAUCCACAAUUGAAGUAGAUAUAUGUGGAUGAUGAACUGUCAUUCAGCCUUAGAACCAAGGGAUCACAUCUUCUUCAACAGAGAGGAAACGGGGAGAGCAUACUGAGACAAAUGGCAAGUAGCAAGAGACGACUGCUGUGUAAUUUUACUCAUGUGUUGUGGUGGGAGUGGUAAAAUGAACAGGCAAGGUUAACAAAAUGAUGGUUACCAGCAUCUAGACGAGGGAAACAUGGAGAGUGAGGUGCCAUAGAGUUUCAAGGUGGAUAUAAUUAACACUUCUAAAUAAUGCAUCCCAAAUGGUGAAGAUGAUAAAGAUCUCAUACUACGUGUUUUUUUACCACAAUAUAAAGAUAGCUCAUUCUAUCUGUUGAACAAGGCUGGCAGAAGUAGGGUGGAAUAGUUGGGAGACUCUUACAGACAAGUUACAAAGUCUUCAGGGCACUGAGAUCUGCCUCUGUCCAGCUUUAAGGAAGGAGAAUUUGAUGCCCAUAAACGAACCAUUUUUUCUGCUUAGUGACAGAAUGCUCACACACCUUAUUCCUCUAGAUUCCCCACGUCUUUUCUCAGAACAUAUCAGAAAUAAUUUAUAAAAAAAACCUGUUAGUAGCUGGUGACUAAAUCAGCUCUCUCUUGAGGCCAUUUGUCACCUGGGAAAGGAGAAAGGGGUCGGGGCAGGUGGAAUUUGGGAAGCUCUUGGCUCAGGACAAGGGCUCUGUGAGCAGUAGGUUCUGGAGCCACUGAAGCAGACAUUACAUGCAAAUGCUCACUACUUUUCCUUAAUGAAUCUGAACGUCUGGUGUAAUGCUGAGUUAGAAAUCUUCCUUCUUGACUCAUGGUUCUGUUUGGAUUCACAGGAAGAGCCUUAAAUAGUAAAAAUAUAUAAACACACACACACACACACACACACACACACACACACACACAACGAGAGCAGAUAGAUGAGCCCCACGUCCCAAAAUUAUACUGGGAGAACCCCUAGAGUUUCAGAAAACAAGUACUUCAUAUUGUGGUAAAAAUUGAUUGAGAUUCAUUAUGAAAUGAUUCACGUGUUUAUAAGUCUCCCAUAGCUAUAGAAGCAACGGAGAAUAACAUAAUAUGAAAAUGAGUAUGCUCAACAGAGGCCCAGGGUGUUCACACUUAGUCUUAACACUGUAUAAAUUACUUAAUACUGUAUAAAUUUCUACUGAUGUCACUGUCUUAUUAUAUUGGUCUACAUCUAUGGGAUAUCUGUCUCUUAUAUUUAAAAUGUUAUUAAUGUAUAUUCAUAUAUGUGUAUUGUACCCAUGUGCGUGCAUGUGCACACACACACACACACACGCACACACACACACACACACACACACACACACAUACAUACACACGUGGCUUAGACUGGUGCCUGCUGAAACUAUGAAAGGGAAUCACAUUUCCUGUAACUGGGUUGUAUGUGGCUGUGAUCUUCCUGACAUAUGUGCUAGGAACUGAAAUUGAAUCGUCUAUGAGAGCAGCAAAUAUUUAUUUUAAAGGUUUAUAUUUUUUAUUUUUAUGUGAGCACACGGUCACUGUCUUCAGACUCGCCAGAAGAGAGCAUCAGAUCCCAUUACAGAUGGUUGUGACCAUGUGGUUGUUGGGAAUUGAACUCAGAACCUCUGGAGUGCUCUUAACUGCUGAGACAUCCGUCCAGCCCAGCAAGAUGUUUAAUGGCUGAGCCAUCUCUCCAGCCUCAAUCGGAAGAUCUUAAAACUGAAAUUUCUGCGAUAAAGAAUAAACCUCUCAAGGGAUUCUAAACUGUCUUAUGGAUUUUCUGAACCCAUAGCCACGAAAGCCAACUAUUUGAAGUAGUUAUAUAUUGUCUGAUUUGGGGUUUCUCCUGCUGUGAUCAAAUAUAAAGAGCAUAAGAAUUGUAGAGAGGAGUGGCUUUACUUCAGCUUAUGUUUGCACAUAUUAGCCCAUCAUCAAAGGAAGUCAGGCAAUAGGACUGGGAUCUGGAGAUGAGCUGUGCAGAGGCCAGCCAGGAAGGGUUGAUGUUUACUUGCUCCUUAGGGCUUGCUAAACGUGUUUUCUAAUAGUACCCAAGAUCAACAGCCAAAGGGUGAUAUUUUUCACCCUUGGGUGGGCACUCAAUCACACAUUAGGUGUAAGCCUAGUUUAUUUCUUUCAAAGUCUAUACAAGAAUUUAUUAUACAGUUUACAAUAAUGAGCUCUCUCUCUCUGUCUGUCUGUCUCUCUUUGUCUCUCUGUCUCUCUCUCUCUCUCUCUGCUGAGAACAUAGGUACUAUUUCUAUGAAUUUUCCUCAGAAAUAGCAAAAUUUUAAGUCUGCUUCUGCAAUAUUCUUGCCUGUGUCUCUUGGUGCACAUAUGUAAGACUCUUUUUAGGCAUAUUUCUGACAGAAUUCUGUAGUGUAGUUGGACAUUGAUUGAGUCAUUGCAUUCUUUUGUAAUGUAUGAGAGCUAUGGUUACUUCAUAUUCUCAGUAAAAUUUGGUAUUAUCAGAGAAGUGAGAUGACUCUUAGGAUAAAAACUCCUUCUACAUAAACUUGGAAGCUUGUGUUAGUCUCAAGAUCCCAUGACGGAGCAAACUCUGGUGAAAUUUGUUCUCGCACUUCCACACAUGCACCAUGUUAUGUUCACGCCUCGCUGCACUUACAUAUCAUAGAUUAAUAUGCAUAUACUAAUCAAUAAAAAAUUUCAAAAACUGGCCCCAUCCAGGAGAAUAACUGUAACCCAGCUAAUAUAAAGAUUAAGACAAUUCAAUCAACAUAUGAAUUAUAUAUGUUUUUUGAGAGAGCAAAAUAUAAUCAAAGAUAAUUUGUGGUUUAUCUUAAUAAUCAUUGAUAUUUAUUCUAGGCGUGAUCUUUCUGUUAACUCUUUGUCUCAAAUAUUUGCGAUAAACAAAUAUUUCACUAAUGCUUUGGGUUUGGUUUGCUUCCUUUAGUUCUGUGUGCAGGAUCUGCAUUGAGCCACAAGGUGGCGAUGUAAGCACGUUCAAAUGAAAAUCUCUACACAGGUCUACGUGCACUAGAGUUAGCUGAAAAGGCUAUAAUCAAUAGUUUUUUUUUUAAAUGGCUGCGGCAUACAUGCCUCUUUCCUAUGAAUUUGAACCUCUUUUUAUGAUACCCUUUGUUGACCUUUGGGGCCAUCAGGGAUUCACUUGAUCCCUCAUUUCUUUCUCCUUAUUUCUAGCAUACUUCACAGAUUCCUUGUUCCCAUGUACAGGGCCUUCUUCAUACCGCCUUGACUCUGCAUUCUCAGGGUUUCCUUUUAUUUCUCCUUCACCGAAAGCACACAUCACCACCGCUGCCACCGAUGUUCCACUUUUCAGUCCCUAGGAUAUGUCAUUUGUGCUUAAUUUCUCCCAAAUUGAUACACCUUGAUAUUCAUGCUUCCAUGAGUCGCUGAAGGCCAUUGGCUUUGAACUUCUGCUUUGUUCCUGUUUGACUGAAAUGCAAACUUGAAUCUAUAGCUCUGUCACACAAACACUUUUCUAAGAUCCCUCUCCCAACACGUUUUCAAUCGCCAAAUAAACAGCCACGUUUAAGUAAAGUUUUUUGUCGCUUUUUUUUUUUUUACCUUUUUAUCUGUCUCUUUUCAUAUGGUUUCUGUUGGCAACAGGUAGUCAGAAGAGAGUUUUCUUUGGCUGGGUUCUAGUGCCUAUAGGAUAGAAUCAAUUAUGCAUGUAGUGUGAAGAAAAUAUAUUAAUUUUGAACGAUAUAUGUAGUAAUUAACCAAGUCCUUAUAUUAUAGAACUUGUACUUUUCUUAGUAUUGUCAUUAUAGACAAAUCAUUUAAAAGUAAUUAAGACUAAUACUUGGGGUUAACAAGCGCUAGAAGGAGAUGCUCCUGCCCUUGACUAGUGACAGGAAAGCCUGGGGAAGCUGGGGAUGGCAUAGCUUGAGAACUAGUGUCAUGGCAACGUAUGCAUACGAGAGUCACUAUAAUAUACCGAUAAGAUGAAGUAGUUCACUUAAUGACUAUGCUUAAAUAAAUAAUCAUACUCAGCCUUUGGCAAGAAAUGCCACAAUUCAGUUGAGUACUCAAAUAUGUCUCUCAGCAAGCACGUUAUUGAUUUCCCACCAAGGUUAUAAUUUAACAAACACGUCAUAUUGAUUUGUUUCUGUAAACUUCAUUCUGGAGCUAUGGGGAUCUCAGUGGAAUUGUAAUUCCUUGUAAUUAAAAGCGUUCAAAAUGCAAAUAUGUGUCCUGAGGCCUGGGGUAGCAUGUGCUUCACUGAGAGCCAAGCACAGGCUUCACCUCCUAAUUCUGCGAACAUAACUCUUUGCUGAUCGGAAUUUUUUUGUUUUGCCUGUCAAUGACACUUUCAGUUAACUUCUGUAAGCUUUUGAAUUCUAUUUUAAUUUUAAAUUAAUUAAACUGUACUUAUUGAGGACCUGUCCGGAACAAGGGUAUGGGCUGAGCCGUAUUGAACUGCUUGUGACAGAAUUCCUCUACUCAUUUUUAAGGAUCACAGUGAUGGAGAACUACACGCCAGUAAAGGCAGAUACAGGAAGAUAUUCACAUAGAUAAACUUGUAGGAAGAAAAACCUAACUCCAGAAAGAUUUAUCACCUUGGACUUAGCCAAAUUGUGUAAUUGUAGAAAACUCCCGGAAGAAAUUAGUCUCAACGCCCUUUGCAAAUUCUUUUUAAGAUUCAGAGAACGUCAGCUCCAGGGCUAUGUAUAAUCUGAGCUCUUUGGAAAUUUGUCUACAGUCGUCAUCUUCUUCUUUAAGUCUGUAGGACUUAAAGCUGUAGGAGAGCUACACAAUAUUGAUUUCAGCCAACGUUCUUCAGCGAAGCAACUUAAGUCAGCAUACAAAUUGCUUGUGACUAAUAUUGAACGCUCCCAGUGUGCUAGGCACUAUUAAUUCAGCUGAAACUCAUUAAUCCAAUGACUAACUAGGUCCGCAUUAGGAAGGUUCACAUUUUACAAAUGACCCAGCAAGAGUAAAACACCCAGCUGAAAGGCAACAGAACUGGCAGGCACUUUCAUCAUCUGCUGUUAAUUUGAAGAAGUAGAACUUAAUUUUAUUCAGAAGAAUGCUUCAUCGUGGGCUUGGGAAGUAAUGAAGUCUCAGGGGAAUCUGACUGGAAUCCUCUAAGAACUUUCUAGGAGAGGUGGCAGCUUUCUAGAAGGAAGGGAGGAAGCCCGUGAGAUUUGGUCUCUCAAAUUCCUAGACAAAACGAAAUGGAUGUAUCUACACUGCGUGCCCAAUGGCCCUGAUGGAAAGCGAUUAUCACCACGAUACCGUUAUAUGUAGCCAUGCACAGGUUGCUUGCCUUGAAGCUAAUUUAUGUACAGAAAAAAAUAGAAAAUUUAUUGAGGCAAGAAGGGCUGCUGAGCUUAAUUUUGAGGAGAGAGGGCACUAUUUCAGUAGGUCUGGGUUACUGGUUUUGCUCUCAAAGAAAAUGAAUAAUGCUCUGGAGCCCAACUAGACUUGAUGCUUUGCUGUGGUAAUGAUGCAUCAUCGCUCAUUAUGACCCAGUGAUGGUCACCCCUACCGCAGCAGUCAUUUGCUAGGUACAGAUGAUGAGUUUUAUACCUGGCUACGUUAACCAAAAGAAUUUUUCCCCUUCUUUCAUGGACUUGGUAGUCUGAUUUGUUGGACAGAUAUUAAAUGCUUAAGUGCAUGGAAUUACACUGGUAAAAUAGCAGGUGAGUUGAAGAAGGCACACACUGCAUUUGGCGCACACUACCAAUAAGUAGUAAGGCUCAACAUGGCUCAUAUGGCUCAAUAGGUCUGGGGGAUAAUAAAUGUGACAGCUGCAUCUAUGUGUGUCUAUUCUGUGUGCACAAGGUCUUUUUGUAUAAUUCUAUAUCUUUCUUAUGAGGCUCUUAUAGUAUUUUAUCAUAGAUGAGGGCUCUUGCUCCUAACGACACCAUUCACAUAUAACCACACAUAUCAGUUGAUUGGUUAUAGCCUGAUAGUUGUCAUUUUUGCAGUCUAUAUUAUAAGACAUGGGACCUUGUUUCUGGAACUUUUCUGAUGGCAGCCAACCUCUCUUCUUCCAAGUGUUUCAAAGAUCUGGCUUAAACCCUAAUUAUUUGAAAGUUAAUUGAUCUACUUGUAAGCCUGACUAUUAAGUGAAUUGGAAUCUUCUCGAAGAAGUAGACUCUUAUGUUCUGUGUCUGAUUCCUUUAUAGUCACUGAAUCUAGGAGUUCAGUGCUUGACAUUUAUAGAUCCUCAAUAAAUAUUUGCUAAGUCAGCAGUGUAGAAAAUAAAAUUUGUUCUUAAAUUCUAUAACAAGAAGGCAAUAUAAACUAGAAAACAUGGGUAGCAUUUCACUUGAAAUGCUCAGGAAAUAUUUGAAAGAUAAAUUAUUCAUUAAAGCAUUCUAGAAGAGAACAUAUACUUGGUUCACAAUACAUACCAAUUUGCAGACUUACAAUGGACUUGUUUUCUUUCCUGUGUUGACAGAUCUUAGGACUGUCAAUUAAAGGAAUACCUGGAUUUCAAUUGAACAGAAUCUAUGUGGAUAAUUAAGAUGUGUAACUGUGUUCCUGUUUUUACUUUUACUAAUCACCAUAGGAAGUACACAUUAAUAAGGAUGCAAAGUCAAGUGUUAUUGGAAGAAUCAAUGACACCUAAGAUCUUCACUUGAUCUUCCAGCUGCAGAAGGACCUGUUUUAGGCAUGACGAACUGUCACAGGCUGAGCAAUUUUUAGACCCUGGUUCCCUAACUUCUAAAUAAUGCCAGUUUUUCUCAUAGCUGCUUGGAUCUUCUGAUAACAGUAACUUUUAAAGCACUAGAAGGAGUAAAUACACAAGGAGGAAAAAAUAGGCGUACCUUUUUAAAGACAAAUUUGGUUUCAGAGGAAUAGUCCAGAGCUAACUCUCCAAGUCUACAUCCACCCUUUCGAGAACGUUCCUCAUCACUUGAUGCUCACAACAGUAUAAUCAGACCAUGUCUUUGGAAAUUGUGUGUCACUUAUUAGAUGAGAAUCUAGGAACUGCUUGUGCCCUAUCUGACACUAGAUUUUGACUGCAAGUUUUUCAUGUUUUUGUUAUUCCUCCAAGGAGCAGAGAUAGUUCGUGUGUUUCAUGUAUAGUGUACAUGUACACAAGUAAAUUUUAGUUAUUCAAAUUUGGUCACUAGAAGGAAUUAUCUCCCUCUUAUAAGCCAUAAUUUUUCUUGUGUGACAGACACUUGUGUAUAAACUGACUCAGAGCACGUUGCAUUGUGAGUGCUGAACACAGUGACUAGUGCGACAGGCUCAGUGUUCCAUUGGCGAAGGGAGGGAGCCUCCAGCUGCUGUCUGUGGCUUUCCAGGCACAUCUGAUGCUGCGUUGUCGUCAAUAAUGCAGGAUGAUGGCAAGUUGAACAAAUGAUCCACAUGAUUUAUGUUUUUCUGAUGUGCACCAUAAAUGUUGACUCUUUUUUUUUUUUAAUUUCGGAAAAGCCACGACAUUUUUUGAGGCCUCUUUCCAACAUAAUUAGUGAGAAGCAAAGACUGAAUGACAUUUAGACAACAAUCCCCCGAGUUGGAAGAAAUCAUGGGUUUUCUCCAGAACUUGCCCUUCUAGUUGCAAAGAGCAGUACUGGGAGCUUGCUGCAAAGGUCAUAAUGUUUCAGAACAUAAGGCAAGGUGGCCUACUGGCUGGAGAUGCUGUGCGUGUUUCAAACUGAAGCACGUUAAGGGCAUAGCAUCAAGCCAGUAUUAUUGCUACACUUAUUCAACUCCUGCACAAUUGACUCUUACUUCCAGAAGCUUGUUAGAAAGACGCAUGGAGACCAUAAUUGAUAGAGUACAAUUUCUAACUUACUCCUAACCCUGACUGUAAGAUGCUGGGUGACCAGAGAAAAGUACUAACGUUUCGGGUAGAGAUUUCCUCGCCACAAAAUUUUUAUUUAUGAAAAGAGAGGAAAGCAGUAGCUUUACCACUCUCGCUUGUUAGGGACGUUACAGAGAUUGUUACCAAUCAUAAAGGAUCUCAAAUAAAAACUUUAAAACAAAAUUGAAUAUAUUGAAGAGACAACAGCAUGUGAUCCCACUCACUUGCUUCUUGUGUAUUUGCUUUCGAGGAACAGAAAGAAACUGUAGCAUUUAACACAGUAACAAGAACGUGUGGCCUAUUUGAUGAAGGUUAGAACUGCUGUGAUGGAGCCUAGACAUGUUGUGUGACAGUAAUGGGGAGUCCCAUGUUCUCUUCUUGGAAUAUUUUGAGGGAUAUUAUAAUAACUUGAAUGCUUGAAAGGAUGAGUCAAUACCUUAUAUGUGCCAUUAAGAAAAAAAUGUUGAGAUCUUUUGAUCUCAAAAGCUAAAGUCACUAUCAGCAAUGACUUGUAGGGACCUGGACCAAUAUAUCUGUAGAACUUUUUUCUACAGAGUGUUUGAAGACACUGCAAAUGCCCCAGAAGAAAGAUUUGCCACCACCCAAGAGGACCAAAUUAAGAGCCUCCUAUUUCUUUAUUUGAAUAAACUGGAAAAGAAAGAGGUUGGUUGAGAAAGAGUAGUUAGACAGAGAACUCUUCAAAAUGCAUGUGGUGUUUUGUUUUGUUUUGCUUUGGGUUUUUUGGCUUUAUAUAUCUCAUAAAUGGUAUCUCUAUGUAUUAUUCUGCAUAUAGCAUGAUUAAUAAGCAGAUUUUUUAUAAAAAGCUAUUCUCAGAGUUAUACUGAACCAUGGCUAUGGGUCUCAUAUUUUCCAUAACUGUAUUGUGUGGACAAAAUAUUAUCUAGAGUCCCCUUAGGGUUAUAAAUCAGAGGUAUUUUUCUCAAUUAGUAACGGUGGGUAUCUGACACAGCCAUCUGGUAUCACCUAAAUGAACUAUAGUCACCACAUAAACUAGUCAUUAAUUAUUAUUUCUAGGUUUGUUUGGAGUUUCUACCCAGCCUGGUGAGAGCACUGUGCAUUGCAAUCCGAUGACUAUAAACACUGAAUUUUCUCUAAAUAAAUCUAGUCCAUGACUUUGUGUAAAACUUGAAAAAUUGUUCCCUCUUUUUAAAGAAACUGAGAUGUAUUUCCUACUUUCUUAUACCCUCAUGCUAUGUUUAAUCAUACAGUAUUCCUCAAUAAAUUCAUUGAUCUAUUUCAAAA